Molecule: unclassified non-coding RNA, 322 nt
Filed under: soil metagenome
Description: partial contains 5.8S ribosomal RNA, internal transcribed spacer 2, and large subunit ribosomal RNA
Rfam family: 5.8S ribosomal RNA (bases 3-120)
Source: RNAcentral
GGUGAAGAACGUAGCGAAAUGCGAUAAGUAAUGCGAAUUGCAGAAUUCAGUGAGUCAUCGAAUCUUUGAACGCACAUUGCGCCAUGUGGUAUUCCGCAGGGCAUGCCUGUUCGAGCGUCAUUUCAACCCUCAAGCUCUGCUUGGUGUUGGGCCACGCCCCCGCGGCCGGCCCCAAAGCUAGUGGCGGUGCCGUCUGGCUCUAAGCGUAGUACAUCUCUCGCUCUAGGGCCCGGCGGUUGCUUGCCAGAACCCACACUCUUAUGGUUGACCUCGGAUCAGGUAGGGAUACCCGCUGAACUUAAGCAUAUCAAUAAGCGGAGGA